This 1243-nucleotide ribosomal RNA is filed under the name metagenome. RNAcentral describes it as "bacterial LSU rRNA". It matches the Rfam family "Bacterial large subunit ribosomal RNA", at positions 1564 to 2816 of the family's 2925-position model. The record is from RNAcentral.
UGAGUACGAGAUGCUACGGCAUCGAAGCAGUCUAUGUCAUACUUCCAAGAAAAGCUUGCACUGUCAUAAACAAAGAAUGCCUGUACCAUAACCGACACAGGUGGGUAGGUAGAGUAUACUAAGGGGCGCGAGAUAACUCUCUCUAAGGAACUCGGCAAAAUGACUCCGUAACUUCGGGAGAAGGAGUGCCUUAUUUAUAAGGUUGCAAUAACAAGAUCCAAGCAACUGUUUACCAAAAACACAGGUCUCCGCGAAGUCGUAAGACGAUGUAUGGGGGCUGACGCCUGCCCAGUGCCAGAAGGUUAAAGAGGUUGGUUAGCAUUCGCGAAGCUGAUAACUGAAGCCCUGGUGAACGGCGGCCGUAACAAUAACGGUCCUAAGGUAGCGAAAUUCCUUGUCGGGUAAGUUCCGACCCGCACGAAAGGCGUAACGAUUUGGAUACUGUCUCGGAGAGGGGCUCGGUGAAAUAGACUUGUCUGUGAAGAUGCGGACUACCUGCACCUGGACAGAAAGACCCUAUGAAGCUUUACUGUAACUUGAAAUUGAAAUUGGACUUUAUUUGCGCAGUAUAGGUGGGAGGCGUUGAGAAUAACCUUGCGGGGGUUAUUGGAGCCAUCAGUGAGAUACCACUCUUGUAAUGUUAGAUUUCUAACUUUGUAUCACUAUCUGGUCAAAGAACAGUUUCAGGCGGGCAGUUUGACUGGGGCGGUCGCCUCCCAAACGGUAACGGAGGCGCACAAAGGUUUCCUCUGAACGGGUAGAAAACGUAUCUAGAGUGUAAAGGCAUAAGGAAGCUUGACUGUGAGACCUACAAGUCGAGCAGGGACGAAAGUCGGUCUUAGUGAUCUGACGGUGCUGAGUGGAAAGGCCGUCACUCAACGGAUAAAAGUUACUCUAGGAUAACAGGCUGAUCUCCCCCAAGAGUUCACAUCGACGGGGAGGUUUAGCACCUCGAUGUCGGCUCAUCGCAUCCUGGGGCGGUAGUACGUCCCAAGGGUUGGGCUGUUCGCCCAUGAAAGCGGUACGCGAGCUGGGUUCAGAACGUCGUGAGACAGUUCGGUCCAUAUCCGGUGUAGGCGUUAGAAUAUUGAGAGGAGCCUUCUCUAGUACGAGAGGACCGAGAAGGACAUACCUCUGGUGUACCAGUUAUCGUGCCAACGGUAAACGCUGGGUAGCUAUGUGUGGAGUGGAUAACCGCUGAAAGCAUCUAAGUGGGAAGCCCACCUCAAGAUAAGUAUUCUCA